Molecule: ribosomal RNA, 240 nt
Filed under: Alexandrium margalefii
Lineage: Eukaryota; Dinophyceae; Gonyaulacales; Pyrocystaceae
Description: partial Bacterial large subunit ribosomal RNA
Rfam family: Bacterial large subunit ribosomal RNA
Source: RNAcentral
AAGGUAGCAAAUUUCCUUGUCGUUUAAGUAACGACCUGCAUGAAAGAUGGAACGAUUCGAUAGCUGUCUUGCGUACAUGUGCUGGUGAAAUGUUAGGUAGUGUGAAGAUACGGUAACAACGUUAUGGGACAAAAAGACCCUGUGAAGCUUUAUAGGGAUAGAAUUUAGUACGGGUUCAAUAUUGGUAUAUCUUCAUGCUAUGCAUCUUCAUUACAAGGAAAAACAGUGAGAUACCAUUCA